RNAcentral lists this ribosomal RNA (406 nucleotides) under uncultured bacterium. RNAcentral's name for it is "partial 16S ribosomal RNA". It matches the Rfam family "Bacterial small subunit ribosomal RNA", at positions 30 to 526 of the family's 1533-position model. The record is from RNAcentral.
AUUGAACGCUGGCGGCAGGCUUAACACAUGCAAGUCGAGCGAGCGGCGGACGGGUGAGUAAUGUCUGGGACACUGCCUGAUGGAGGGGGAUAACUCCUGGAAACGGUAGCUAAUACCGCAUACCAUCAGAUUUGCCAAGAUGUGAUUAGCUAGUAGGUGGGGUAAUGGCUCUCCUAGGCGACGAUCCCUAGCUGGUCUGAGAGGAUGACCAGCCACACAGGAACUGAGACACGGUCCAGACUCCUACGGGAGGCAGCGGUGGGGAAUUUUGCACAAUAGGCGCAAGCAUGGUGCAGCCAUGCCGCGUGUGUGAAGAAGGCCUUCGGGUUGUAAAGCACUUUCAGCGAGGAGGCGAUACUCGCAGAAGAAGCACCGGCUAACUCCGUGCCAGCAGCCGCGGUAAUUC